UCCCGUGUGCUCUCCAUUGCUGCCCCUCCCCCUACCCAUCGACUCCAGCACGCACCAAUGUGUUCGAUGAAAUGGGCACAAGGUAUUUUCCCCCUUCUUUUUCCUUUCAGUUUUGCUUGCUGAGAUAUGGAUGGGCAUGUUCUGUAUUUAUUCGUGGGUGCACCUCGUUAAGCUUCAUACAUGGAUGAAAUUACUGUUUCCUAAUCCUAAUUAGUUAGAUGACUUCAGAGAAGUUUCCUAGGCGCAACAGUAGCAGUUAAGUAGUGCAAAAGGCAGAGGCAAACCAAUCCUUUUUGCAAUCCAUCGCCCCCAUCAUAACCAACCAUCUUAGUAUGACCCUGUAUUGUGCAGAUGCAAGGUGCUGUGAUGAAUCAUGUCCUUGACCUCGAGAGGAAUUGUUCUCUUCAUGCAGAUCUCGCAAAAUCCAACUCCAGAAUCAUGUCCUUGACCUCGAGAAGAAUUGUUCUCUCCAUGCCUUAAGCUCGAGGACAACUUUACUGCUCUACUAUGUUGUUCUUCAUUAAUGCUGUC
Molecule: long non-coding RNA, 531 nt
Filed under: Setaria italica (foxtail millet)
Lineage: Eukaryota; Viridiplantae; Streptophyta; Magnoliopsida; Poales; Poaceae
Description: long non-coding RNA (SITA_LNC000523)
Source: RNAcentral